GCCUUGGUAGUCUCAGAGGGUUCGAUUCUGGCUCAGGAUGAACGCUGGCGGCGUGCUUAACACAUGCAAGUCGAACGGAGUUUUUAACGGAAGUUUCGGAUGGAAGUUUAGAAACUUAGUGGCGGACGGGUGAGUAACGCGUGGGUAACCUGCCUCAUACAGGGGGAUAACAGUUAGAAAUGACUGCUAACACCGCAUAAUAUAGCGAAACCGCAUGAUUUUGCUAUCAAAUAUUUAUAGGUAUGAGAUGGGCCCGCGUCUGAUUAGCUAGUUGGUGGGGUAAAAGCCUACCAAGGCGACGAUCAGUAGCCGGCUUGAGAGAGUGACCGGCCACAUUGGGACUGAGACACGGCCCAAACUCCUACGGGAGGCAGCAGUGGGGAAUAUUGGACAAUGGGGGAAACCCUGAUCCAGCGACGCCCGCGUGAGUGAAGAAGUAUUUCGGUAUGUAAAGCUCUAUCAGCAGGGAAGAUAAUGACAGUACCUGACUAAGAAGCCCCGGCUAACUACGUGCCAGCAGCAGC
This 524-nucleotide ribosomal RNA is filed under the name uncultured bacterium. RNAcentral describes it as "bacterial SSU rRNA". It matches the Rfam family "Bacterial small subunit ribosomal RNA", at positions 1 to 518 of the family's 1533-position model. The record is from RNAcentral.